GGCUCGCGCAGGGGCGCUCACGUUUUGUGGCUGAGCCGUAUCUUGCUGGUGGGACCGAGAGCAAGAAGGACGGGGGGCAACCAUGCAAUGGUACUUCUCGACCGUGUCUCCGAGGGACAGUUGAACGAGCGACUCAGCGACUCAUGAAUGCUGCCGGGUUGGACGAGCCAAUAACUCGAACGCGUUCGGUCUGUUUUUUGAGCAAGAAUCACAGCGUUACCUUACCUUCACCAUGAUACGGACUCCAAGUUAUUAUGGCAGAGCGCGAGGAGAUUUAUCAUCAAUAUGAUGAUGGGAAUGGAAACCAGAAGCACGACCGACCGGGGUCUUCGUGGUCCAAUAUAAGAAAACCUUCAGUAAAAGUAGUAACGUAAGCAUGAGACUUUUUGGUAGUACCGGUGAACCAGAUGGCCGCGGCGAUGGAAUCUGGGACGGAGGACUCGUAGUAUCUCUCUAGAUCUGGCAAAAGCUAAAUACCCAUAACGUAACGUAAUUCGAAUGGGGGGCUGACCGCUGAGCCCACUCUGGCCUCGCGGGGCGGGCCCCUGUGGUUUCGAGCUGGAGCUGCCAUAGCUUAUGGCUAGAGCAAUGGGAGGGGGCCCCGGCAUAGAGAACAGUAAGGAUAACGAGCGCUCCGCCCGCUUCCGCUUGGCGGGCGGCAGGAGCAGCGGGCAAGUGCUUGGUAGGCCAACAGCCCAGUGAACCGGGCGGGGCACUCGACGAAAGGGGGGCACACUGAGCAAGUACGAUAAAUUUGCCCCGCUCCGCUUAUUAAAAGCAAGGACCACUACGGGAGGUCAAACCUGAAGCUUGGACCUACGGAAGUCGGGGCUCGUCCCCGGUC
Lupinus albus (white lupine) is the source of this 844-nucleotide non-coding RNA. Lineage: Eukaryota; Viridiplantae; Streptophyta; Magnoliopsida; Fabales; Fabaceae. The record is from the annotation of a GenBank genome assembly.